RNAcentral lists this long non-coding RNA (411 nucleotides) under Salmo trutta (river trout). RNAcentral's name for it is "lncRNA (ENSSTUG00000012073.1)". Lineage: Eukaryota; Metazoa; Chordata; Actinopteri; Salmoniformes; Salmonidae. The record is from RNAcentral.
CAGGAUGUAACAGGCCCUUCAGACCCCCUGCUGGCUAGGAAGACAGACCCGGCAUCCAUCAACACCCUUCACUACAGCAGCAAGAACUUGCCCCUCCUCUACUCCCCUCGCCUGGCCAGCAGUGUGCACAGGGAACUGGUCACGUGGUUCGCAGGGAGAGUUCCAGGAAAUAAUUCCCAGAACCCUGACCAGGCUCCAACUGACAGCUCUGCCCCUGGUGAUGGAGAGGGAAGCAGCCCCUUGUAUUUAACCAGGUCCUCUACUACCCUGUGUGCUACUGUUAAAUGUAACUCAGAAACAAGUACACACUUGAGGUCAACAAUGUCAGAGUUAUAGCUUAAAGCUUUACUCUAGUCUAUAUCCCAAGUACAGUAGUUGGAAGUUUCAAAAUGUCUUACUGUGGAUCUGACU